AUUGAACGCUGGCGGCAUGCCUUACACAUGCAAGUCGAACGGUAGAGGGGGCAACCCCUUGAGAGUGGCGAACGGGUGAGUAAAGCAUCGGAACGUGCCCAGUAGUGGGGGAUAGCCCGGCGAAAGCCGGAUUAAUACCGCAUACGACCUACGGGUGAAAGGGGGGGAUCGCAAGACCUCUCGCUAUUGGAGCGGCCGAUGUCAGAUUAGGUAGUUGGUGGGGUAAAGGCCUACCAAGCCGACGAUCUGUAGCUGGUCUGAGAGGACGACCAGCCACACUGGGACUGAGACACGGCCCAGACUCCUACGGGAGGCAGCAGUGGGGAAUUUUGGACAAUGGGCGCAAGCCUGAUCCAGCCAUGCCGCGUGC
RNAcentral lists this ribosomal RNA (370 nucleotides) under uncultured bacterium. RNAcentral describes it as "bacterial SSU rRNA". It matches the Rfam family "Bacterial small subunit ribosomal RNA", at positions 29 to 404 of the family's 1533-position model. The record is from RNAcentral.